CCUACGGGNGGCAGCAGUGGGGAAUAUUGGACAAUGGGGGCAACCCUGAUCCAGCAAUGCCGCGUGUGUGAAGAAGGCCUGCGGGUUGUAAAGCACUUUCAGUAAGGAAGAAAACCUCAGGGCUAAUACCCUUGUGGCUUGACAUUACUUACAGAAGAAGCACCGGCUAACUCCGUGCCAGCAGCCGCGGUAAUACGGAGGGUGCGAGCGUUAAUCGGAAUUACUGGGCGUAAAGCGCGCGUAGGCGGCUUGGUCAGUCGGAUGUGAAAGCCCCGGGCUUAACCUGGGAAUUGCAUUCGAUACUGCCUGGCUAGAGUAUGAGAGAGGAAAGUGGAAUUCCCGGUGUAGCGGUGAAAUGCGUAGAUAUCGGGAGGAACAUCAGUGGCGAAGGCGACUUUCUGGCUCAAUACUGACGCUGAGGUGCGAAAGCGUGGGUAGCAAACAGGAUUAGAUACCCUGGUAGUCCACGCCCUAAACUAUGUCAACUAGCCGUUGGGUUCAUUUAAGAACUUAGUGGCGCAGCUAACGCGUUAAGUUGACCGCCUGGGGAGUACGGCCGCAAGGUUAAAACUCAAAUGAAUUGACGGA
This 588-nucleotide ribosomal RNA is filed under the name uncultured bacterium. Its description in RNAcentral is "bacterial SSU rRNA". It matches the Rfam family "Bacterial small subunit ribosomal RNA", at positions 338 to 917 of the family's 1533-position model. The record is from RNAcentral.